UGCCAGCCGCCGCGGUAAUAUAGAGGGUGCGAGCGUUAAUCGGAUUUACUGGGCGUAAAGGGCAUGUAGGUGGUUGCAUAAGUUAGAUGUGAAAGGCCCGGGCUUAACCUGGGGACUGCAUUUAAGACUGUGCGACUAGAGUAUGGUAGAGGGAAGUGGAAUUUCCGGUGUAGCGGUGAAAUGCGUAGAUAUCGGAAGGAACACCAGUGGCGAAAGCGCUUUACCGGGCCAUAACUGACGCUGAGGAACGAAAGCUAGGGUAGCGAAAGGGAUUAGAUA
RNAcentral lists this ribosomal RNA (279 nucleotides) under uncultured bacterium. RNAcentral describes it as "partial 16S ribosomal RNA". It matches the Rfam family "Bacterial small subunit ribosomal RNA", at positions 506 to 784 of the family's 1533-position model. The record is from RNAcentral.